AGCCACGCAGUGAGCACAAAGCGAACUAUUCUUUCGCCUUUUACUAAAGAAUACCGUGCGCGCGCUGCAAUCAGUGGCAUACGCCAAUUUUUGGAGGGAUUCUCUUCUAUAGAGGACC
This is a small nuclear RNA of Solanum stenotomum, 118 nucleotides long. RefSeq annotates it as U5 spliceosomal RNA. NCBI's taxonomy places the organism in Eukaryota, Viridiplantae, Streptophyta, Magnoliopsida, Solanales, Solanaceae. The record is from RefSeq and is a predicted model, not a curated record. The transcript has a single exon.